This 599-nucleotide long non-coding RNA is filed under the name Actinidia chinensis (golden kiwifruit). Its description in RNAcentral is "long non-coding RNA (ACHI_LNC005656)". Lineage: Eukaryota; Viridiplantae; Streptophyta; Magnoliopsida; Ericales; Actinidiaceae. The record is from RNAcentral.
AAAAACAUCAUCGAUCUCUCAACCACACAAAAACUGUAAAAAACGAUAUUAAUUAUAAAUAAAUAAACUUUAAGUGGCUACAAAUUUAAUCAUUUACAUGGGUGUACGACCAAACUUUCUAUGGUCGACACUAGCUACAUAGACUUUAUUUGCUUUACAAGAUUAAGAGCUUGCACCAAUCUUACUCCUUAAGCUCAAUUGCCGCUAUAUGCAUACAAAUAUAUAUUAGCAAUUGCACCAUGAAGGGCCAGUGCAACACGAACUACGUGGCCCACAAAACUCAUCGACUCACGAGCAAUUUCCCUUGCCGGUGCCAGGGAUGUUUGUGCAAGGAUUACUCCCAGAUGAUGGCACAGGCCCUCUCUGUAGGGCCUGAAGCAGCGGAACAUGACUCGCUAGCCAUUUCUCUCCAUUGAGAGGUCUCGUCGCAUUGCAAACUUGUACAUUUGUUGAAGUGAACAACAAUAUCAUGAAAAUGAAUAGCUUUGCUAAGAGACUCUUAGGGAACACCAUUUUUGCAAAGAAAAUUGAAAUCUGGUUGUGGUUGUGGUGGUAGUUGUGGUUAAUAUGGAACUAUGGAAUUGCUUUUUGUGAGCUAG